RNAcentral lists this ribosomal RNA (473 nucleotides) under uncultured Pedomicrobium sp. RNAcentral describes it as "bacterial SSU rRNA". It matches the Rfam family "Bacterial small subunit ribosomal RNA", at positions 1 to 526 of the family's 1533-position model. Lineage: Bacteria; Pseudomonadati; Pseudomonadota; Alphaproteobacteria; Hyphomicrobiales; Hyphomicrobiaceae. The record is from RNAcentral.
UAGAGUUUGAUCAUGGCUCAGAACGUACGCUGGCGGCACGCCUAACACAUGCAAGUCGAACGCAGUAGCAAUACUGAGUGGCAGACGGGUGAGUAACAUGUGGGAAUCUGCCUUGUGGUUCAGGACAACAUUGGGAAACCGAUGCUAAUACUGGAUAAGCCCUUACGGGGAAAGUUUUAAUGCCAUAAGAUGAGCCCGCAUUUGAUUAGUUAGUUGGUGAGGUAAUGGCUCACCAAGACAAUGAUCAAUAGCUGAUCUGAGAGGAUGAUCAGCCACACUGGGACUGAGACACGGCCCAGACUCCUACGGGAGGCAGCAGUGGGGAAUCUUGCACAAUGGAGGAAACUCUGAUGCAGCGAUGCCGCGUGAGUGAAGAAGGCCUUUGGGUUGUAAAGCUCUUUUGUAGGGGAAGAUAAUGACUGUACCCUAAGAAUAAGGUCCGGCUAACUUCGUGCCAGCCGCCGCGGUAAUAC